UACAGAGGGUGCGAGCGUUAAUCGGAAUUACUGGGCGUAAAGCGCGCGUAGGCGGCUUUGCAAGUCGGGUGUGAAAUCCCCAGGCUUAACCUGGGAACUGCAUUCGAGACUGCAUUGCUAGAGUAUGGGAGAGGGAAGUGGAAUUUCCGGUGUAGCGGUGAAAUGCGUAGAUAUCGGGAGGAACACCGGUGGCGAAGGCGGUUCUCUGGGCCUUACCUGACGCUGAGGAGCGAAAGCGUGGGGAGCGAGCAGG
Molecule: ribosomal RNA, 253 nt
Filed under: uncultured bacterium
Lineage: Bacteria
Description: partial 16S ribosomal RNA
Rfam family: Bacterial small subunit ribosomal RNA
Source: RNAcentral